This 82-nucleotide transfer RNA is filed under the name Tistrella mobilis KA081020-065. It matches the Rfam family "tRNA". From Rfam's summary of the family: Transfer RNA (tRNA) molecules are approximately 80 nucleotides in length. Their secondary structure includes four short double-helical elements and three loops (D, anti-codon, and T loops). Further hydrogen bonds mediate the characteristic L-shaped molecular structure. tRNAs have two regions of fundamental functional importance: the anti-codon, which is responsible for specific mRNA codon recognition, and the 3' end, to which the tRNAs corresponding amino acid is attached (by aminoacyl-tRNA synthetases). tRNAs cope with the degeneracy of the genetic code in two manners: having more than one tRNA (with a specific anti-codon) for a particular amino acid; and 'wobble' base-pairing, i.e. permitting non-standard base-pairing at the 3rd anti-codon position. Lineage: Bacteria; Pseudomonadati; Pseudomonadota; Alphaproteobacteria; Geminicoccales; Geminicoccaceae. The record is from Rfam by way of RNAcentral.
GCGGGCGUGGCGGAAUUGGCAGACGCGCGAGAUUUAGGUUCUCGUGCCGGAAGGUGUGUGGGUUCGAGUCCCACCGCCCGCA